This 501-nucleotide ribosomal RNA is filed under the name uncultured bacterium. RNAcentral describes it as "partial 16S ribosomal RNA". It matches the Rfam family "Bacterial small subunit ribosomal RNA", at positions 29 to 523 of the family's 1533-position model. The record is from RNAcentral.
AUUGAACGCUGGCGGCAUGCCUUACACAUGCAAGUCGAACGGCAGCACGGGUGCUUGCACCUGGUGGCGAGUGGCGAACGGGUGAGUAAUACAUCGGAACGUACCUUAUCGUGGGGGAUAACGCAGCGAAAGCUGUGCUAAUACCGCAUACGCCCUGAGGGGGAAAGCGGGGGAUCGCAAGACCUCGCGCGAUUAGAGCGGCCGAUGCCUGAUUAGCUUGUUGGUGGGGUAAAAGCCCACCAAGGCGACGAUCAGUAGCUGGCCUGAGAGGACGAUCAGCCACACUGGGACUGAGACACGGCCCAGACUCCUACGGGAGGCAGCGGUGGGGAAUUUUGGACAAUGGGGGCAACCCUGAUCCAGCAAUGCCGCGUGAGUGAAGAAGGCCUUCGGGUUGUAGAGCUCUUUUGUCAGGGAAGAAACACCGGCUCUAACACAGUCCGGGAAUGACGGUACCUGAAGAAUAAGCACCGGCUAACUACGUGCCAGCCGCCGCCGUAA